AUGAGCUGGUGUUUGGCCAAGGACAUGAAAGACAAGAUCGUCAACCAAGUCCUCCCGCACGGCUACAUCUCGCCGGACCUUUCAAAGGGCAACGAGGUGUUCUCUGUCCCCAUUUUCAAUGACGUGGAUGAAGACAGGUCUCUCCUUGACUUCGACUACAUUGCCCACCCAAAAUUUCCAUUGUCCCUCGUGCCUCCACCGGUAAAGCUGUAUCAGGGCUGCCGUUGUGUGGUGUGUGGGUCGGACUACAGCUGCUUGAGGAAGAAUGGUGGAGGUGCGGUGUACAAUGAGGAUGGCACCCUCAUCAGGGGAAGACCAGUAGUGUAUGAGUGUGGUGCUCUUUGUGGUUGCACCACGAGGAGCUGCUUCAACAGGUCGACCCAAGUUGGGAUGGAGCACCGGCUGGAGGUGUUCAGGUCCAUGCAGACGGAUUGGGGUGUCAGGACACUGGACUUGAUACAGCCAGGCGCUUUUGUAUGCGAGUACAGCGGAGACGUGGUCACUGGCGAUGUCACCAUGGAUGAGGGCUGCGUCAUUGAUCCAAAGAGGUUUCCCAAGAAGUGGAGAGAGUGGGGAUAUGCCUCUGAUGCACUUCUAGAAGACAAGGAGUACGUCCACAUCGAAGUUCCCCAAGCUGUGCUUCCCGAUACUGUGUGUGAAUCAGUUCUUCUGCCUCAGUUCCCCCAUUUCCAAGAGCCAGGCUAUAUACUCGAUGUGUCUCGCCGGAGGAAUUUUGCCAGCUACAUUAGCCACAGUUGCAUCCCCAAUGCCUUUGUCCAGUUUGUUAUCCGUGCAGGGGAAAAUCAGUCAUGCACUCACCUGAUGGUGUUUGCCAUGGAUGUCAUCCCACCUAUGCGGGAGCUGAGCAUCGAUUAUGGCAUAGAUCAGCAAAUUUGUUCAUGA
Molecule: ribosomal RNA, 903 nt
Filed under: Triticum aestivum (bread wheat)
Lineage: Eukaryota; Viridiplantae; Streptophyta; Magnoliopsida; Poales; Poaceae
Description: partial small subunit ribosomal RNA
Source: RNAcentral